Molecule: long non-coding RNA, 278 nt
Organism: Perognathus longimembris pacificus (Pacific pocket mouse)
Lineage: Eukaryota; Metazoa; Chordata; Mammalia; Rodentia; Heteromyidae
Exons: 3
Source: RefSeq, a predicted model, not a curated record
CCUCCUGGAUUAAACAAAAUUUAGUUUACAAAGAAAAGAGGAUCCCAGGAAGGGGCUUUAUUUCUAACCAAAUUGUCUUUCUACAGUGGACCUCAUAAUGGGCAUUACAAACACACAUUUUUAAAUGGCCUCUCAAGCCUCACUUUCUAUUACCCACAGUCCUUUAAGGACUUGAGACUCUGCCAAAAUACCCAGUAGCCAUUUCUUCAGAAGCUCUGAGCUGAGUUGUCCAGAUUUCACACUGGGUGGGGAGGGCUGGUGGGAAGUCCUCCUGGUAA